RNAcentral lists this long non-coding RNA (3564 nucleotides) under Coffea arabica (coffee). Its description in RNAcentral is "long non-coding RNA (CARA_LNC002634)". The record is from RNAcentral. Lineage: Eukaryota; Viridiplantae; Streptophyta; Magnoliopsida; Gentianales; Rubiaceae.
CUCACGUAAAAUGUGCAUGCUUCCACAACUCCACUACUGCCUAUGGGUUACGUUAAACUAUAAACGAUGCAAAAGAAGAAUGCUUUUUCAUUUAUUUGGUGAGUAUCUGAAUGAAUUUUUGUUGUUAUUGUAGGAGGCAACAAAUUAAAACAAAUCUUGCUACCAUCAAUUGAGUAAUAGGUAUUUCUUGCUUCUUUUUAGCUGUUAGGUUAUUCAAAAAUGUUUUGUUUUAUUCUUGCUGCUAAUUGGAGAAAUAAGUGAGUCACAGAAGAGUAAUUUUUCUUAUUUGGAAUCUAUAGGGCUAUUUGUUGAGUUCAAAUGCUUGUGCUCUUCUUUUAGCAAAGCUUUUAUUAACUAAUAAUCUGAGCCUUAAUUUUGAUUGUCAAAUUCAAUUGUUGAAUUAUAUUUAAUAAUUUGUAUGUCUUGAGCUUGUGAUUCAAUUUUAGCUUUACUUCUGUAGCUUUGACUAUUUGACUAUUUUUCUUGCUAUUUAAUUGCCUACUCUAUGAUACUGACAAAAAAUUCUCGGUACUUCUAAUAAUUUUUUGUCCCUGCUCUUUUCUUCCUUGUACUCCUGUAGAUGUUAAAACUCUAUUUUGAAGCUAGAGUUUUGAAAUUAGCAUGCUUAAGUUGCCAAUAAUUUUUAAAUAAUGACAAUGCUAAAUAUGAGCAAAUUUAAUCUACUGAAAAACUGAGCAUUUUCUUGUGAAAAUAAAGUUGGGAAAUGAUUAUUAUUCUAAGUUCUAAGUCAUUAGAUUCUCUACCUAGACACUUUGUCCUUACCCGAGCAUUCAAAUGCAAGGUUAAUAUUUUUGUCCUUACCUGAGUGUUAAAAUGCAAGGUUAAUAUUUAGAAUGCAACCUUAUUUAUUCUUUUUAUAAAUUUUUAAAAUUAUUUAUACUUUAAGGGAAAAUAAAUACCAAAAUUGAUAUUUUUUGUCUAAUGAGAGUAUAAACAUAAUGAGAAGGGGUUUAAAUGCUAGGUUAAUUAUUUACAAAGCAUAUAUAAGUGCAUCGCCUUUAUUUAAUUUUAUAAACACUCUCCUUAUUCCUUGGAUUAGUGACAGGAAGAGAUAUGAAAAAUUGAUAAUUUUUUCAUAAUACAUAGAGAUUGGAUAAGAGAUGAUUUAAUUGAUGGCACAAAAAUAAAAACAAAUAUGCCAGUUAUGAGCCUUAUGUGUUUAGAAAGUAAUUUCUUACGUUUUUAUUUGUCUAGGACUUAUUGGAAAAAAUAUGUUAAAACUUAUAUUUUUACAGUGUGGGAAAAAAUAUUAAGAUGUAUAAAUCAUAUCUCUAAUUGAUAUUUAAAAAGGAAUAUGAAAAAAUGAUUUUUUGCAAUAAGACUACAUGUGUGUGCUAGGGAAGAUGUAUUAUUACAGUUUAUACUCUGCUUUGGAUUUUUUUCAUUUAUUUAUCUGUUUUUAUCGCCUAUUAGAUGUAAGUUUCAAUUUUGGUUAUCAUGAAGUGUUUAUCCUCUUAGUUGUGUCUUGGAAAGUUUAGUUUUCUGACAUGUUUUCUUGAACCUUUUAUAUUGAAAAUUUAUAAAUCCUCACUAGAUGUUGGACUCAUUUUUGUGUAUUUCAUGAGGAUGUCCCUUUUGUGUUUUUUUUUAUCUCAAUGGGCAUUGGCUGUGAUCAAUUAACCACUUGUUCUUUUGUGCACCUUAAUGGAUCUCAAUAUGUGAUCUUUUGUAAUUGCAGCCUAUGAUUGCACUUUAUAUUAAGUAUUUAGCAAGUCAUCUCUUGUCUCUGUAAGACUAACUUGCACUUGAAGAUGUUAAGCUAUUUGUCAAACUACUUGCCAAUCUUUUGUCAUCUUCUCUUCUCUUUUGCAAUGCUAAUGAUUUUUUUGUUUUGUUUAGUCUCAUAUUGUUAGCUGCAUACUUGAUUGGUAAUUUAUAAUUUUAAGAAUGCUAUUUCGCAAACAUUACUGUUAAUCUUAUUUUAUAUGACAAUAGAUUAUAGGGGGCCUAGGCUGUGCUUAGCACAGCCGAUAACCUCCUAGUAUAUAUAUAUAAACCUAAGCCUUCUUCUCCCACAUUGAUCCACGUGGCUGCUCUUGGGGAGGGAGUGUACUGUAGCAGCUACCUUUUGCCAAUAAUGCCCUCCAAAUUUGAGUUUCUGCACUGAAAAAUUGACUACUAUUAAGGGGCUUGUACGUCUUUUAUCAUUUAAUGACAAUUUUGCCCUACCAGAUAUACCAUCUUCUCAAAACAGUAGGUAACUGUUCAGGGUUAUUUCUGGAAUAUUGGGUCAAAUAAUCCUCCUUUCCUUUUCAUUGUUCCUGUAUGUUGGACUACUCCUCUUCGGUGGAAAAAGAGAAGCAGAGAAGCAAGGAAGUAGCUGAACAGCUUUUAGAAACAGUGGCCAAGAAAUGGGUUGUCCGCCUGCUAUGUGUAGUUCCAAGCCAAACAAAGACAAGUAUGAAUUCAACUCUUCCACCACUUGGUCAACAGUUUCUCCUUUCUCUAUCUUUCUCGUUAUUUUGUUUCUACUUCGUUUUGCUUUCUGCUUUCUAGACAAUGAAAACUGGGACUUGAAUGCAGUGAGUGAUGCAUAAUCUCUUCUAUGAAUACUAUUACACCAAAUUGAAGAUUACAGAAUCUGUGGUAGUUUCUCUAAAUCCAAGUAUCUAUAAAGCUGGAACAUUAAAAAAACAUGAGGUUUCCUUGAUCAAAUAUGUUUGCUCAGUAACUUUGAACCAUACAUCCUGAUAUUUGCACUAAAAAAUGCACAAACCUAAUGAGGUCAGAUUGUCUGGUAAGAACUGAUAUAGCCCUUGCGGGACAAAAUAAAAAAGCAUCUUAAAGUCGUUGAAACGAAUUGAUCUGGUUAUAGUAAGCAAUAAUUGAACGAUAAAAAAAUCUCUUAAGGAAGUAUUCCACAUCAAAACAUUUCAAUGAGUUGAUGAAUCCCAAAAAUUGCGAAUCUUCACUUAAUAAGUUACUUUCAUUUUUCUUAAUCUUCUAGACGUAACAGAGAAAAAAAAAAUUUUUGACGACAAAAAUGUCAUCUCUCAUGCCACAAAGCCCACAUGCAUGUACAACAGUUCAGGGAAAUCCACGUAUCUGUAUCAUUGAUGGAGAAGAAGCCGGCAUUGCUGCAUAUGUUAGCAGAAAAUCCCAUGUUAUUGACCGGUCAUGUAGUGGAAGAACAGAUGGUUGAUGUGGGAAGGGUGAUGCUUCAAGGAACCAUUUGAUUUUUUGUGCAAUGGAAAAGUUAUGUAGGCAGCUAGGAAUCUAGGAUAUGCAGACAAACAUAUUUUGGAUGGACUGUGAAGGUUUGGGUUCAGUUAUGUCAUCUCUAACGCCAUCUCUAUGGUCAUAUCUAACAGGUAUAGACCACAUAUUGAGUUUUUGGGUGCAAAUUUUCGUACAUGACAGGCUUCAAAAUCUAGCAUGCAAAAGAAAGGCAGCAAUGGUGUCACGAUCUCAUCUGUUGUUUAGUUUCUUUUCAUCCUUAUCUAAUCAAGCAUAAUGCGGGAGUUGUAUCGACAGGGUACCAAUCUAGGUGUGCUUAUCAUGAACUGAUUGACUAAGUUCUUCAGUGCAUCGAUUGAUUUCUUU